RNAcentral lists this ribosomal RNA (424 nucleotides) under uncultured prokaryote. RNAcentral describes it as "bacterial SSU rRNA". It matches the Rfam family "Bacterial small subunit ribosomal RNA", at positions 355 to 796 of the family's 1533-position model. The record is from RNAcentral.
UGGGGAAUAUUGGACAAUGGGCGCAAGCCUGAUCCAGCCAUGCCGCGUGCGUGAUGAAGGCCUUCGGGUUGUAAAGCGCUUUCGCACGUGACGAUGAUGACGGUAGCGUGAGAAGAAGCCCCGGCUAACUUCGUGCCAGCAGCCGCGGUAAUACGAAGGGGGCGAGCGUUGUUCGGAAUCACUGGGCGUAAAGGGCGCGUAGGCGGCGUGUUCAGUCAGAUGUGAAAGCCCCGGGCUCAACCUGGGAACUGCAUUUGAUACUGGCACGCUCGAGUCCGGGAGAGGUGAGUGGAAUUCCCAGUGUAGAGGUGAAAUUCGUAGAGAUUGGGAAGAACACCAGUGGCGAAGGCGGCUCACUGGACCGGUACUGACGCUGAGGCGCGAAAGCGUGGGGAGCAAACAGGAUUAGAUACCCCCGUAGUCC